RNAcentral lists this transfer RNA (61 nucleotides) under Ictidomys tridecemlineatus (thirteen-lined ground squirrel). Its description in RNAcentral is "Spermophilus tridecemlineatus (thirteen-lined ground squirrel) tRNA". It matches the Rfam family "tRNA", at positions 6 to 65 of the family's 71-position model. From Rfam's summary of the family: Transfer RNA (tRNA) molecules are approximately 80 nucleotides in length. Lineage: Eukaryota; Metazoa; Chordata; Mammalia; Rodentia; Sciuridae. The record is from Rfam by way of RNAcentral.
UGUGGCUCAGUGGUAGAGUGCUUGCCUGACAUGUGUGAAGCACUGGGUUCGAGUCUCAGCA